AUGCAAGGCAUGGAUAAGACAAUUCCCGAGAUCUUCGCAAUGCUAAAGGCUGUGGAGGUAGAAAUCAAGAAGGAGCAUCAAGUGUUGAUGGUCAACAAGACCACCAGUUUCAAGAAGAAGGGCAAAGGGAAGAAGGGUAACUUCAAGAAGAACAGCAAGCAAAUUGCUGCUCAAGUGAAGAAGCCCAAGUCUGGACCUAAGCCUGAGACUGAGUGCUUCUACUGCAAAGGGACUGGUCAUUGGAAGCGGAACUGCCCCAAGUAUUUGGCGGAUAAGAAGGAUGGCAAAGUGAAAGGGGCUGCGGAUUAA
This 309-nucleotide ribosomal RNA is filed under the name Triticum aestivum (bread wheat). RNAcentral's name for it is "partial small subunit ribosomal RNA". The record is from RNAcentral. Lineage: Eukaryota; Viridiplantae; Streptophyta; Magnoliopsida; Poales; Poaceae.